AGCCCCCGGGGGGGCGGAAAAGCUCUGGGCAGAAUACGCUAGCGUGGGGUAGUGUGACUCGCCCCCGACCUCCUAUUUUUGGUUGGGUUUGUUUACAGCGAGGUUAUAUCAGGGUAAUGAUUAAUAGGGAUAGUUGGGGGCAUUAAUAUUUAAUUGUCAGAGGUGAAAUUCUUGGAUUUAUGAAAGAUUAACUUCUGCGAAAGCGUUUGCCAAGGAUGUUUUCAUUAAUCAAGAACGAAAGGUAGGGGAUCGAAGACGAUCAGAUACCGUCGUAGUCUUAACCAUAAACGAUGCCGACCAGCGAUUAGGAGACGUUGAAUACAAAACACCGCCGUUAAUCCUUUCGGGGGUUAAUGGUUGGUGAAUGACUCCCUAGCAGCUUGUGAGAAGA
This 391-nucleotide ribosomal RNA is filed under the name Acanthamoeba genotype T5. RNAcentral's name for it is "partial small subunit ribosomal RNA". It matches the Rfam family "Eukaryotic small subunit ribosomal RNA", at positions 782 to 1098 of the family's 1831-position model. Lineage: Eukaryota; Discosea; Longamoebia; Acanthamoebidae. The record is from RNAcentral.